AUUGAACGCUGGCGGCAUGCCUUACACAUGCAAGUCGAACGGCAGCACGGGUGCUUGCACCUGGUGGCGAGUGGCGAACGGGUGAGUAAUACAUCGGAACGUACCUUAUCGUGGGGGAUAACGCAGCGAAAGCUGUGCUAAUACCGCAUACGCCCUGAGGGGGAAAGCGGGGGAUCGCAAGACCUCGCGCGAUUAGAGCGGCCGAUGCCUGAUUAGCUUGUUGGUGGGGUAAAAGCCCACCAAGGCGACGAUCAGUAGCUGGUCUGAGAGGACAAUCAGCCACACUGGGAAUGAGACACGGCCCAGACUCCUACGGGAGGCAGCAGUGGGGAAUUUUGGACAAUGGGGACAACCCUGAUCCAGCAAUGCCGCGUGAGUGAAGAAGGCCUUCGGGUUGUAAAGCUCUUUUGUCAGGGAAGAAACACCGGCUCUAACACAGUCCGGGAAUGACGGUACCUGAAGAAUAAGCACCGGCUAACUACGUGCCAGCCGCCGCCGUAA
This 501-nucleotide ribosomal RNA is filed under the name uncultured bacterium. RNAcentral's name for it is "partial 16S ribosomal RNA". It matches the Rfam family "Bacterial small subunit ribosomal RNA", at positions 30 to 523 of the family's 1533-position model. The record is from RNAcentral.